This 87-nucleotide non-coding RNA is filed under the name Humibacillus sp. Its description in RNAcentral is "Fluoride sequence". It matches the Rfam family "Fluoride riboswitch aptamer (crcB RNA motif)". The record is from RNAcentral. Lineage: Bacteria; Bacillati; Actinomycetota; Actinomycetes; Micrococcales; Intrasporangiaceae.
UGGUAUACGGGUGAUGGAGCUUGCCCGAGAAGCCAGGUGACCCUGGCUUUUCAAACCGCCAAGAUGGCUGAUAGCCCCUGAGAUCUU